GCCCUCUCAAGAUCAUACCUGGAGAGUUUCCAAUACUCUACUGGUCUUGGCUAUGGAAGGGAGAAUCAAGAAGAGGUCUACUCAUUCCAUUCUUAGCUUGGGCAGUGGCUAUUGAGUGGAAGACAAUCUACUACAAGU
Ornithorhynchus anatinus (platypus) is the source of this 138-nucleotide small nucleolar RNA. The record is from RefSeq and is a predicted model, not a curated record. Lineage: Eukaryota; Metazoa; Chordata; Mammalia; Monotremata; Ornithorhynchidae.